RNAcentral lists this ribosomal RNA (1376 nucleotides) under marine metagenome. Its description in RNAcentral is "bacterial LSU rRNA". It matches the Rfam family "Bacterial large subunit ribosomal RNA", at positions 669 to 2130 of the family's 2925-position model. The record is from RNAcentral.
AAGCGAAAGCGAGUGUGACAAGCGCGAAUUAGUCGCAAGCAAUAGACCCGAAGCGGAGGUGAUCUAGCCAUGGCCAGGUUGAAGCUUAGGUAACACUAAGUGGAGGACCGAACCGGUGUACGUUGAAAAGUGCUCGGAUGAGCUGUGGCUGGGAGUGAAAGGCUAAUCAAACCCCGUGAUAGCUGGUUCUCUCCGAAAUAGCUUUAGGGCUAGCGUCAGGCAAGGAUUCGAGGGGUAGAGCACUGAAUGGCUUAGGGCCCAUACCCGGGUACCAAAACCAAUUAAACUCCGAAUACUCGAACUCCGUACUGGCAGUCAGACUAUGGGUGAUAACAUUCAUGGUCGAAAGGGAAACAACCCAGAUCGCCGGCUAAGGUGCCCAAACUGGAUUAAGUGGAAAGGAUGUGGAAUUGCAUAGACAGUGAGGAUGUUGGCUUAGAAGCAGCCACCAUUUAAACAUAGCGUAACAGCUGACUCAUCGAGCGAUUCUGCGCCGAAAAUGAUUGGCGAUUAAAUCCAGUACCGAAGCCGCGGACGUGUUUUACACGUGGUAGGAGAGCGUCGUCUAUGCGCUGAAGCUGAACUGUAAGGGACAGUGGAGCGUAGACGAGUGAGGAUGCAGACAUGAGUAGCGAUAAAACAGGUGAGAAUCCUGUUCGCCGUAAACCCAAGGUUUCCCAUAGCCACGCUCGUCGGCUUGGGGUUAGUCGGGUCCUAAGGUGAGGCCGUAAGGCGUAAUCGAUGGACAGCAGGUUAAUAUUCCUGCACCGGCGGGUAUUUAGUGUGUGAGUGCGCGGAGAAGGAAGAUGCAUACAUAACGUUAUGGAAGAGGCUUAGUCCACGAGGCGAAGCCCGCAUUGGAAAUCUCUGCCUAGAAAAGCUCAUACACAUUCUAUGCCUGUCGCCCGUACCGUAAACCGCCACAGGUAGGAGGGUGUAAAUGUACCAAGGCGCGCGAGAGAAACCUCUUUAAGGAACUCUGCAAAUUAGCCCCGUAACUUCGGAAGAAGGGGUGCCAUCUUCGGAUGGCCACAGUAAAGGGUGACUGGCGACUGUUUACCAAAAACACAGCUCUCUGCUAAGAUGUUAAGUCUACGUAUAGGGAGUGACACGUGACCAAUGCCGAAAGAUCAAGGCUGUUCUGUUAACGCAGGGCACCCAAGUCCCGGUGAAUGUCGGCCGUAACUAUAACGGUCCUAAGGUAGCGAAAUUCCUUGUCGGGUAAGUUCCGACCUGCACGAAUCGUGUAACGACCGGUCAACUGUCUCAAAGAGGAUCUCGGCGAAGUUGUAAUGGCGGUGAAGAUGCCGCCUACCCGCGGUAGGACGGAAAGACCCUAUGCACCUUUACUGUAAGCUGGUAUUGGGUUCUGGACU